This 377-nucleotide unclassified non-coding RNA is filed under the name soil metagenome. RNAcentral describes it as "partial contains 5.8S ribosomal RNA, internal transcribed spacer 2, and large subunit ribosomal RNA". The stretch from base 1 to 120 matches the Rfam family "5.8S ribosomal RNA", at positions 35 to 154 of the family's 154-position model. The record is from RNAcentral.
GAUGAAGAACGUAGCAAAAUGCGAUAAGUAAUGUGAAUUGCAGAAUUCAGUGAAUCAUCGAAUCUUUGAACGCACCUUGCACCCUUUGGCAUUCCGAAGGGUAUGCUCGUUUGAGUGUCAUUGUACUCUCACACUUCCGAUCUUUGGAUUGGGAGCGGUGGACUUGGGUGUUGCUGCUUACUGUGGCUCACCUCAAAUCGAUUCGUGCACCUCUUGGUUGGACAUAGUACGGCGUGAUAAGUGUCUUCGCCGGCACCUCAGUAGAGGGUGGCUGAUCGGGAGCUCUGCUUCAAACCGUCCUCGGACAACAACUGACAACUUGACCUCAAAUCGAGUAGGACUACCCGCUGAACUUAAGCAUAUCAAUAAGCGGAGGA